CCUACGGGUGGCAGCAGUGAGGAAUAUUGGUCAAUGGACGCAAGUCUGAACCAGCCAUGCCGCGUGCAGGAAGACGGCUCUAUGAGUUGUAAACUGCUUUUGUACGGGAGUAAACGCAGAUACGCGUAUCUGUCUGAAAGUAUCGUACGAAUAAGGAUCGGCUAACUCCGUGCCAGCAGCCGCGGUAAUACGGAGGAUUCAAGCGUUAUCCGGAUUUAUUGGGUUUAAAGGGUGCGUAGGCGGUCGGAUAAGUUAGAGGUUAAAUCCCGAGGCUCAACUUCGGAAUUGCCUUUGAUACUGGUAGGCUAGAGAGUAGUUGCGGUAGGCGGAAUGCAUGGUGUAGCGGUGAAAUGCUUAGAGAUCAUACAGAACACCGAUUGCGAAGGCAGCUUACCAAGCUACUUCUGACGUUGAGGCACGAAAGCGUGGGGAGCAAACAGGAUUAGAUACCCGUGUAGUC
Molecule: ribosomal RNA, 460 nt
Filed under: uncultured bacterium
Lineage: Bacteria
Description: partial 16S ribosomal RNA
Rfam family: Bacterial small subunit ribosomal RNA
Source: RNAcentral